This 169-nucleotide ribosomal RNA is filed under the name uncultured bacterium. RNAcentral describes it as "partial 16S rRNA". It matches the Rfam family "Bacterial small subunit ribosomal RNA", at positions 338 to 524 of the family's 1533-position model. The record is from RNAcentral.
CCUACGGGAGGCAGCAGUAGGGAAUCUUGCACAAUGGGGGAAACCCUGAUGCAGCGACGCCGCGUGAGCGAUGAAGCCCUUCGGGGCGUAAAGCUCUUUCGGUGGGGAAGAUAUGGACGGUACCCGCAAAAGAAGCCCCGGCUAACUACGUGCCAGCAGCCGCGGUAAU